Long non-coding RNA from Panicum virgatum (switchgrass), 1100 nucleotides. RefSeq lists it as uncharacterized. The transcript has 4 exons. The record is from RefSeq and is a predicted model, not a curated record. NCBI's taxonomy places the organism in Eukaryota, Viridiplantae, Streptophyta, Magnoliopsida, Poales, Poaceae.
UCUCACCCAGACACCCACUCAUCCACAUGUGGGGCCCACGGAACUCGAUGCAUUUUCUCUCCCGUUGCCUUUCGGCUCUCCGGCACGCGCUCUCUAGAUCUCUCUAUCUCCAUUCCUUUUUUUCUCCUUAGCGACAGUGCAUCUCACGCUUAGGGUUUCGCCGGCGAGGCGACUCCGGAGCUCGCCAAUCGCGUGCCGCCGGCGAGGCGGCUGGGACCCGUACCCAUCGGCAACAGAGCUCGCCGUGGCCGGCGGUGAUGGUGGGAGGCGGAGCUCCGCACGGAUCUGCCCGCGCACUCGACCCGGCCUCGCGCCUCGAAGCGUGGCGGCGCGAUGGGCAACGACCGCUUCCCUUUGUGGGCGGGCACAUCAGGAAGUUGCGGCAACUCCGGCAGAAGCAGGUACCACCGGUGGCGGAGGCCUCGUGAGCCAGACCCGGGAAGCAGGGGGUCCUGGUGAGAAUCUCACGGUUCUGGGAGUGCCGUAGCUGCCCUUCAAGUGCCAGCAGCAGGCAACUCCAUCGAUGCCAUCGCCGACCUCAGCCACACGCUCAAGAUCAGCUAGGCAUUGAAAUGAUAUCUGUGCUGACGAUGGUGCGGCUGCAGUAGGAGAGCUCAAGAGGGAACUAGAGAAAGGCCCAGGCCUAUGCUUCCAAGCCACCUGAAAGCAGAGGACAGUAAGUGUUUUCCUUGGCUGGCUUGGGAUUUUGACUUUGCCACUGGAUUGGACUGAAGCUGGUUUUCUACUCUUAUUUUUAGUUACUCCUAGCUCUUAUCUGAAGUGGAGCAAGAAAGAACCAUCAUAUUUCUCAAUCUCUACAGCUGAAGAAGUGUGGAGAAGAUGCAGGUUCAUGGGUGAACAAGAACUGAAACAAGUAACAGUUUUUUUAGUUACAAAACCUUUUAAUUGGGUCUGAAUUGAUUCCAAAUUGAUGUGAUAUUUGUCUGGCAAUAACUUUCAAUUUCGCUAUAAAGAGUCAGAUUGGUAUGGUGUGAUCCCAGUCUGGUGUGAUCCCAGUAAUGUUGCACCAACGCUACACUAUUUACUCUUAGAAGAAAUCUAACAGUUUCGAGAUUUGGAAUAUCAGUAUAUUAUUUGUG